UAACGCGUGGGUAACCUGCCAUAUACAGGGGGAUAACACUUAGAAAUAGGUGCUAAUACCGCAUAAGCGCACGGAGCUGCAUGGCUCAGUGUGAAAAACUCCGGUGGUAUAUGAUGGACCCGCGUCUGAUUAGCUUGUUGGCGGGGUAACGGCCCACCAAGGCGACGAUCAGUAGCCGGCCUGAGAGGGUGGACGGCCACAUUGGGACUGAGACACGGCCCAAACUCCUACGGGAGGCAGCAGUGGGGAAUAUUGGACAAUGGGGGGAACCCUGAUCCAGCGACGCCGCGUGAGUGAAGAAGUAUUUCGGUAUGUAAAGCUCUAUCAGCAGGGAAGAAAGAAAUGACGGUACCUGACCAAGAAGCCCCGGCUAACUACGUGCCAGCAGCCGCGGUAAUACGUAGGGGGCAAGCGUUAUCCGGAUUUACUGGGUGUAAAGGGAGCGUAGACGGUGAAGCAAGUCUGAAGUGAAAGGCGGGGGCUCAACCCCCGGACUGCUUUGGAAACUGUUUGACUGGAGUGCAGGAGAGGUAAGUGGAAUUCCUAGUGUAGCGGUGAAAUGCGUAGAUAUUAGGAGGAACACCAGUGGCGAAGGCGGCUUACUGGACUGUAACUGACGUUGAGGCUCGAAAGCGUGGGGAGCAAACAGGAUUAGAUACCCUGGUAGU
Molecule: ribosomal RNA, 668 nt
Filed under: uncultured bacterium
Lineage: Bacteria
Description: bacterial SSU rRNA
Rfam family: Bacterial small subunit ribosomal RNA
Source: RNAcentral